RNAcentral lists this long non-coding RNA (427 nucleotides) under Homo sapiens (human). RNAcentral's name for it is "non-protein coding lnc-EDN2-2:2". Lineage: Eukaryota; Metazoa; Chordata; Mammalia; Primates; Hominidae. The record is from RNAcentral.
CUUCUGCCACUUGGACAUCAUCUGGGUGAACACUCCUGAUUCAAGUGCUGAGGCUCAGAGAGCUUAAGCGCCUCCCCCAAGAUCACACAGCAAGUGGGGACCAGAUGGGGGCAGCUUAGCUAUGAGCCUGUGUUUACUUCUGUGAGAUGGAGUGGCCGCCCUUCCUCCAGAGCUAGCUGAGAGCCUUCUUUGAGAACAGGGGGACCAGCCUGUCUGAGAGGGGAGAGAGACUAGGAGGUUCCCAAUUCCCAACUUCAACAGACAGCUCCUUACGGCCUGGGAAACCCGCCAAGACGCCGGCGCCGCUCCCUGCCAAGGCGCUGUCAGUGCUCCAGUGCCAGGGACCCCGCCUGUGCCACCUUCUGCCUUCGAAGGCCCUGGACAUUUCCACAGUCAAGAGCCUCUUUGCCAAGCGACAACAGGAGGC